AUACGUAGGGAGCGAGCGUUGUCCGGAAUUACUGGGCGUAAAGGGCGCGUAGGCGGCGCUUCAAGUCGUCUGUCAAAUGGGAGGGCUUAACCCUUUUUCGCAGACGAAACUGGAGAGCUUGAGAAGCAGAGAGGCAAACAGAAUUCCUGGUGUAGCGGUGAAAUGCGUAGAUAUCAGGAAGAAUACCAGUGGCGAAGGCGGUUUGCUGGCUGCAUACUGACGCUGAAGCGCGAAAGCCAGGGGAGCGAACGGGAUUAGAUACCCCGGUAGUCCUGGCAGUAAACGAUGUAUGCUGGGUGUGAGACUAGCGAUAGUUUCGUGCCGAAGUUAACGCGAUAAGCAUACCGCCCGGGGAGUACGGUCGCAAGAUUGAAACUCAAAUGAAUUGACGGGG
This 394-nucleotide ribosomal RNA is filed under the name uncultured bacterium. RNAcentral's name for it is "partial 16S ribosomal RNA". It matches the Rfam family "Bacterial small subunit ribosomal RNA", at positions 523 to 918 of the family's 1533-position model. The record is from RNAcentral.